RNAcentral lists this long non-coding RNA (1490 nucleotides) under Marmota monax (woodchuck). Lineage: Eukaryota; Metazoa; Chordata; Mammalia; Rodentia; Sciuridae. The record is from RNAcentral.
CAUCAGUAUCAACUGACAUUGGGUGGGAUAUUUAAAACUCAGCAACAUAUACUUACUCAUUCAAAGAACAUAAAGAAUGAUUUGGUACUACCAGACAAGUUGGAAAGUGAUGGGAGAAUCAGAGAGAAUUAAGUCCCAAAUUGUAUAUAUAAACUCUGACCAAAUUUCUGAAGUGCAUAAUUUGAGACAGAUGUCAAGCAGUCCAGAAUAGCCUACCAGAACUGAACAGAAAUUUCAGCUGGUGCAUGCUGCAAUAGAGAAUUUAGAAUUGAGUGAAACCCAGUUAACUUCCUGAAAAAAUAUUCUUCAGAGUAUCCCAGAUCAUUAGAUCUCAUUCAUAUUUCCCAAGAUACACUGUAAAAUCAUUGAAAAUACAAAGAAACAAGACAGCAUGACCCAUACACAAGAGAAAAGGUAGUUAAUGGAGACCAACACCAAAAUCAACUAGAUGUUGGACUUAAUAGACAAGGACUCACUAUAACUAAUAUAGCCAGGAUAAAAGAUGAAUAAACAUUAUAAAAUUACAAUGAUGAAUAAAUAAGAAAUGUUAGAAAAAAUUACUAUUAUUUAACUGAAAUAGUGAAACUUAAAAAAAAAAAAAAAGAACCAGGAUCAAACUAAGAAAAUUUUGAAGUCAUAAAGAAAUACUAUCAGAACUUAAAGUUUGAUCAUUAAAAGCUGUGUAAUCUGAUAAUAAUGAACAGAGUCUCCAGUGACAUACAGACAAUUACCAAGAGGGACUAGAGUUAUGGCUCAAGGGUAGAGUGCUUGCCUGGCAUGUCUGAGGCCCUGGGUUUGAUCCUCAGCACCAUAUAAAUAUAUUUAUAUUAAAAAAAGAAGAAGAAAAUAAAAAAUAACUUAACUCACGGAAAGUCAUAAAACACAGCAGAAAUAAACCAUAAACUAGCUGAGUUGAAUGAGGAAAAAGGGGGACUCAUAUCCCUCAUGAGCAUUUUUGCAGCAAAAUCUUCAAUAAAAUACUAGCAAACCAAAUUCAGCAGCCCAUUAAAUGGAUCAUACACCAGGAUCAACUGGAAAUGAUUCUUAAGGAUGGUUCAACAUAUAUAAACCAAUAAAUGUGAUAAACCAGAUUUACAAUACAAAGAAGAAAAGAACAGGGUCAUCUCAAUAGACUCAGAAAAAGCAUUUUACAAGUUCAAUGUCCGUUCAGGAUUAAAAACUCAACAAGUUAGGUAAACAAAGAACUUCUCUCAACAUAGGAAAGACCUAUAACUAACAUCAAAACCAAUGGGGAAAACCUGAAAGCUUUACCUAAAAGUGGAAAGGUUAUCCACUCUUACCACUUCUAUUUAGCAUAGUAGAAUUCCUUGCCACAGGAAUUAAAUAAGAAAAAGAAACAAAGGUCUCUAAAUUGGUAAAGAAGGACUAAAAAAAAAGUAUAUCUGUUUGCAGGAAAUGUGAUUAUAUAUUUAUGAACAUUAAAUUUCAAAAAAGUUAGAAUAAACCAAUUCAAUAAAAUUGAAAGACAC